GAUUUCCGCCCUAGAUUCUGACCGUAAAGUAUAGUGUUUCCUUAGGAGCAARACCAGUCAUUGACUGUUUGCUWACUCUGGAUAAUUCUGCAUAUCGCAUGGUCUUGUACCGGCGAAGUUUCUUUCAAGUAUCUGCUUUAUCAACUAUCGUUGGUAGUUUAUUGGACUACCAUGGUAUUGACGGGUAACGGAGGAUCAGGGUUUGACUCCGGAGAGGGAGCCUUAGAAACGGCUACCAUGUCUAAGGAUAGCAGCAGGCGCGAAAAUUACCCAAUAUCAGAACGAUGAGGUAGUGACGAGAAAUAACGAGAUCGUUCUCUUUGAGGUCGAUUAUUGGAAUGAGUACAAUCCAGAAAUUUUAACGAGUAUCAACGAGAGGGCAAGUCUGGUGCCAGCAGCCGCGGUAAUUCCAGCUCUCGUAAUGUAUAGAAUUAUUGUUGCGAUUAAAAAGUUCGUAGUUGGAUUGUUGAACUUGCAUGGGUCCAUCUUCGUGAUGUGUACUCAAUGCAAGUAUUUUGUUGGUUUUUGCGGCGUUGAUUCGUCAGCGUCCGUGAUGCCAGCAGGAUUACUUUGAACGGCUCAAGUGCUCAAAGCAAGUCUUAUGACUGAAUACCGGUGCAUGGAAUAAUGGAACAAGGUUGCGGCCGAGUUUUAUUGGUUUUGUCGGCUGAAACAAUGGUUAACAGGAACAGCCGGGGGCAUUCGUAUCGCUGCGCGAGAGGUGAAAUUCGUGGACCGUAGCGAGACGCCCGACAGCGAAGGCAUUUGCCAAGAGUGUUUUCAUUAAUCAAGAACGAAAGUCAGAGGUUCGAAGGCGAUUAGAUACCGCCCUAGUUCUGACCGUAAAGUCAUACUGUUUCUGA
This 863-nucleotide ribosomal RNA is filed under the name Bursaphelenchus leoni. RNAcentral describes it as "SSU rRNA". The record is from RNAcentral. Lineage: Eukaryota; Metazoa; Nematoda; Chromadorea; Rhabditida; Aphelenchoididae.